UUAAGUGAAAUAAGGGCAUUUGGUGGAUGCCUUGGCGCUAAGAGGCGAUGAAGGACGUGGUACGCUGCGAUAAGCUUCGGGGAGUUGCGAACAGACCGUGAUCCGAAGAUUUCCGAAUGGGGAAACCCACCUUCGAUAUCUUGAACUCUGAGCCUGUCAGCGAUGGCAGGUUUGGACUUCAAGGUAUCACGAGAAGGUAUUCAAUCCUGAAUACAUAGGGGUUGAAAGCGAACCCGGGGAACUGAAACAUCUAAGUACCCGGAGGAAAGGACAUCAACAGAGACUCCGCUAGUAGUGGCGAGCGAACGCGGAUCAGGCCAGUGCUUCAUUGAUGUGAACCGGAACCGUUCAGGAAAGGCGGGCCAUAGUGGGUGAUAGCCCCGUACGGAUAAAGCAUCUUUGAAGACUCGAGUAGGGCGGGACACGUGAAAUCCUGUCUGAACAUGGGGGGACCACCCUCCAAGCCUAAGUACUCCUUAGCGACCGAUAGCGAACAAGUACCGUGAGGGAAAGGUGAAAAGCACCCCGACAAGGGGAGUGAAACAGUUCCUGAAACCGGAUGCCUACAAACAGUUGGAGCUCAAGGUUCGUCCUGGGUGACAGCGUACCUUUUGUAUAAUGGGUCAGCGACUUAGUCUGACGAGCAAGCUUAAGCCGCUAGGCGUAGGCGAAGCGAAAGCGAGUCUGAACAGGGCGUUCAGUUCGUCGGAUUAGACCCGAAACCAGGUGAUCUAGCCAUGAGCAGGCUGAAGGUGCAGUAACAUGCACUGAAGGGCCGAACCGGUGUCUGUUGAAAAAGACUCGGAUGACUUGUGGCUAGGGGUGAAAGGCCAAUCAAACCUGGAAAUAGCUGGUUCUCCGCGAAAGCUAUUUAGGUAGCGCCUCGCAUGUAUGCUCCCGGGGGUAGAGCACUGGAUGGGCUAGGGCCUCUUACCGAGGUACCAAACCUAACCAAACUCCGAAUACCGGGAUGACUUGUGCGGGAGACACACGGCGGGUGCUAACGUCCGUCGUGGAGAGGGAAACAACCCUGACCAACAGCUAAGGCCCCCAAAUCGUGGCUAAGUGUGAAAGGAUGUGAGGAUCCCAAAACAACCAGGAGGUUGGCUUAGAAGCAGCCAUCCUUUAAAGAAAGCGUAACAGCUCACUGGUCUAAAUAAGGGUUCUUGCGCCGAAAAUGUAACGGGGCUCAAGCCACGUGCCGAAGCUUUGGAUUGCGACUGAUUUAUCAGCGCAGUGGUAGCGGAGCGUUCUGUAAGUCUGCGAAGGCGGACCCGUGAGGGCUGCUGGAGAUAUCAGAAGUGCGAAUGCUGACAUGAGUAACGAUCAGGGGUGUGAAAGACACCCCCGCCGAAAGACCAAGGGUUCCUGCGUAAAGCUAAUCUGCGCAGGGUUAGCCGGCCCCUAAGGCGAGGCCGAAAGGCGUAGUCGAUGGGAAUGGGGUGAAUAUUCCCCAGCCAGUGGAUGGUGACGAAUCCCGUGUGUUGUCUGUUCUUAUUGGAUUGAACAGGCCUCGAAGGGGUUCCAGGAAAUAGCCUCCACAUGAGACCGUACCCGAAACCGACACAGGUGGUCAGGUAGAGUAUACCAAGGCGUUUGAGAGAACUACACUGAAGGAACUCGGCAAUCUACCUCCGUAACUUCGGGAUAAGGAGGCCUCGUCAUUGGGCAACCAGUGAGGAGGGGCACAGACCAGGGGGUGGCGACUGUUUACCUAAAACACAGGGCUCUGCGAAACCGUAAGGUGACGUAUAGGGUCUGACGCCUGCCCGGUGCCGGAAGGUUAAAAGGAGGGGUGCAAGCUCUGAAUUGAAGCCCCGGUAAACGGCGGCCGUAACUAUAACGGUCCUAAGGUAGCGAAAUUCCUUGUCGGGUAAGUUCCGACCUGGAUAGGUGGUAGGCUUUGAAGCCGGGGCGCUAGCUCUGGUGGAGCCAUCCUUGAAAUACCACCCUUGUAAAUACGAACGUCUAACUGCGAGCCGUUAUCCGGCUCCAGGACCGCGCAUGGUAGGCAGUUUGACUGGGGCGGUCGCCUCCCAAAGAGUAACGGAGGCGCGCGAUGGUGGGCUCAGACCGGUCGGAAAUCGGUCGUUGAGUGCAAUGGCAUAAGCCUGCCUGACUGCGAGACUGACAAGUCGAGCAGAGACGAAAGUCGGUCAUAGUG
Molecule: ribosomal RNA, 2164 nt
Filed under: Eurotiomycetes sp.
Lineage: Eukaryota; Fungi; Ascomycota; Eurotiomycetes
Description: bacterial LSU rRNA
Rfam family: Bacterial large subunit ribosomal RNA
Source: RNAcentral